Pecten maximus is the source of this 3724-nucleotide long non-coding RNA. RefSeq lists it as uncharacterized. The record is from RefSeq and is a predicted model, not a curated record. NCBI's taxonomy places the organism in Eukaryota, Metazoa, Mollusca, Bivalvia, Pectinida, Pectinidae. The transcript has 2 exons.
GGUAAUAUGUUCCCUAUUCACUGAAAUCACUUAACCGGAAAUACAUUUAGAAGGUAUCUGGGUUAUCCUACAGAUACGCAGGAAGUGUGGGAAGUUUUCCUGUUUACUCUGUUCUGUCAAGUUGGAAUUUGGAUUGCUGCAACUGCAGUAGCAAGACAGAUCACCCAUUAUAAGACCAGUCGAUGAUCUAGCAACAUGCACCAAUCUCGUCCUCGAAAUAAGAGGAAGCCAGAUUCGUCUCGGUCCAAAUCGGCCCCAGGAGCCUACAACACCGGCAGCAUGCAGGCCUUUGAUCCCGGCCAGAAUGUGCAUCUGUGGACAAUGUGGCGUAUUGCUGUCACAGAACAGGUUAUUAGGAAUACGAAACUUCAGCAGAGACUUCGAGACGAGGGCAGAAAGACGAAAAAACCCGACACUCUUACCAGUCCGCCGUUAUUGCAAUAUAUACAUGUCACGGAAUCCACGCACGCACGCGCAAACGCUAUGAUGGGUCCGUGGGGUGAUGCGAGUUCGAGUGACUUGUUGACAAAACAAUUUAUUUACUACGGCCUGCCACGUGUAAACAUCAAACAGGACGGUUCUUCUGCCAUCUCUCAUCAACCGCCGUACUGAUAUCCAAAACGUUACAAUGCCAUGACGAAUGGUGUAGAUGGCGAUUCUGUUUUGACUAAUGAUGUAUUGUGAUGCUCCUUCCACGUGAACACUCGAUGGUGCUUUGGAAGAUGUUUCAGCUGGUGUAUAAUGCAUUACGUUAGAAGACGGUUGAAAAUUUUGAAUCAGAAAGACAUGAAAUGGCUGAAAAGCCAUAUACAUAUCAGCGAGAAUUAAAUAUGAUGCAUGUAAUGUUAAAUAGCUUUAACAUACAAUAUGCAUAUUUCAGUAAGUUCCUUUGUAGCUGAACAAGAUUUGCGUACAUUGUCAUUUCUACCACUCAGACAACUAGUGAAGAACAAUUGGACAUUUCUACCGCUCAGACCUCUAGUGAAGAACAAUUGGACAUGUAUACCGCUCAGACCACUAGUGAAGAACAAUUGGACAUGUAUACCGCUCAGACCACUAGUGAAGAACAAUUGGACAUGUAUACCGCUCAGACCACUAGUGAAGAACAAUUGGACAUUUAUAUCGCUCAGACCACUAGUGAAGAACAAUUGGACAUUUAUAUCGCUCAGACCAUUGGUGAAGAACAAUUGGAUACUCUCUGGUCACCUGGACACCAACAAUCACUGAAAUACAACGUGUCCGGACUCGGUCGAUAUUGACUAUCUUCGCUCCAUAAAGUAUCAUAUCGAUCGAAACAAACUGACAUAACUGAUUUAUUAUAUUUCGGUGUCAAAACCAGAACACAAAAUGCUCAAGGUAUGAAUAUAUGCCAUUCAAAUUCCAUCUUAAUCCAUAGUAUUCACCAAAUUAAAGCGCCAUAAAUAUGGCAUCUUUGAUAAAACAACUUAUUGCACUAGUUGUCGAUCUUGUGCGACAAAUCUGAUUGGCUGAAAUAACGCGACGUCACAGAACACUUGCACGAGCUUGGAAUAUGAUGUUUUAUUACUGUCGCAGAGUGCAGUUCGAUAUUAAAUGGAGUAACACAUGAUCAGAUGUAGACCGAUCGACAUAUGAUACAAAUGUUGAAAUUGGGAAAUGUAAUUAAGCUCUUUAUGUCACGUGAUCUAUUAUAUUGUAUUGUCUCUAUUGUCUAACUGAAGACACCACGAGUGUUUACCCAUUAGUUAGCAUAACAACUGGAGUAGUGUUCCAUAUAACAUUCAGUAUCUUCAGUAUCCAAGAGAGUGUCCAGCUUGAUAUAUCAAUGCAUUAUUACACAGGUAACGUGUAAACGUAGGAGAAAAUAGGGAUGAUUGUCUUUACGUUCAUAUCAUAGCGUUUAAAAAUAAUGUAUUAGUGUACUGAAAAACAAUGAAUACAGAAAAAUAACUCGUCGAAAAGAAACUCCCAGAUUAUUAUCAAACGUCAGAUUGGAGAAAUUACAACUAGUAAAACUGGCCGAUAGGUCUUUAUCGUAGUCUAGUGUCUUGGUCUCCCAAUCGUUCGAACAGGUCGUUAAAAGUUGUUUGAUCAGUAUGGAUACCUGUAGAUACCACUAGAGGUACGUAUUUUGUUAAGUAUUUAGGCUCUGUCAGAUACCUGUAAAUUUCACUAGAGAUACGUAUUUUGAUAAGUAUUUAGGCUCUAUCAGAUACCUGUAAAUUUCACUAGAGAUACGUAUUUUGAUAAGUAUUUAGGCUCUGUCAGAUACCUGUAAAUUUCACUAAAGAUACGUAUUUUGAUAAGUAUUUAGGCUCUAUCGGAUACCUGAAGGUACCAUUAGAGGUACGUAUUUUGAUAAGUAUUUAGGCUCUGUCAGAUACCUGUAAAUUUCACUAGAGAUACGUAUUUUGAUAAGUAUUUAGGCUCUAUCGGAUACCUGAAGGUACCACUAGUGAUACGUAUUUUGUUAAGUAUUUAGGCUCUGUCAGAUACCUGUAAAUUUCACUAGAGAUACGUAUUUUGAUAAGUAUCUAGGCUCUGUCAGAUACCUGUAGAUUUCACCAGAGAUACGUAUUUGUUAGUAUUAAGGCUCUGUCAGAUACCUGUAGAUUUCACCAGAGAUACGUAUUUUGUUAAGUAUUUAGACUCUUUCAGAUAACUGUAGGUCCUACUAGAGUAUUUUGGUUUUUUUUUUUCAAGGCUCUGUCAGAUACCUGUAGGUCAUGAUACCUGUAUGUCUCACUAGAGAUACGUAUUUUGUUUAGUAUCUAGGCUCUGUCGGAUACCUGUAGGUUCCGCUAGAGAUACGUAUUUUGUUAAGUAUUUAGGCUCUGUUAGAUACCUGUAGGUUCCACAAGAGAUACAUAUUUGGUAAGUUUCUGGGCCCUUUCAGAUAACUGUAUGUCCCACUAGAGUAUUUUUUUUCAAGGCUCUGUCAGAUACCUGUAGGUACCACUAGAGAUACGUAUUUGGUGAGUAAUUAGGGUCUUUAAGAUAACUGUAGGUCCUACUAGAGUAUUUUGAGGUUUUUUUCAAGGCUCUGUCAGAUACCUGUAGGUCAUGAUACCUGUAUGUCUCGCCAGAGAUACGUAUUUUGUUUAGUAUCUAGGUUCUGUCUGAUACCUGAAGGUCUCACCAGAGGCUCGAUUUUUUAAGUAUCUAGGCGCUGUCAGAUGUCAGUACGCCUUACUAAGGAAACUUAAACGAUGUUUCGCAACAACCGGGGUCAUUUACCUGAUGUCUGGUACAAUGCACCGAAAAUAACUCCACUAUCACAGAAAAAAAUCAAAUGUGCCAUAUCCAAUGACUUAUCCUAUCUAUGUUUUAGUUUGAUGGAUGGUAUGUCCUCUGUGAUAGAUGGUAUGUCCUCUAAGUAGUUAUUUAGGUGGUGUUCGGUUAACAACACUUGAAUACAUUAGUUGAAACACGGUGUCAAGUUGAAUUCUUCAAACUACAUUAUGUAUCAUUGUUGCAACGUGAAACUGUUUCGUCUGAGAUAAUAAACUUUUACUUAACUCAACAUACAUGUAAUAUUAUAUUUGGUUUAAAUUGUGCUUAUAAAUUUCGUAUUUUUUUUUAUUAGAUAUGUUUUAGUUGUUAUUUUAUAGUACCUGUACAUAAUUAUAUGUUUAUAUUACAUUGAUAAAUUGUAUAUUAGUUAACACAUGUAUACGUAUAAUGUUAUUAUGUAUUUGGAUGGUCAGUAACAUCCUUGAUUUGACAUAAAUCAUCCGUAAUUGGA